RNAcentral lists this ribosomal RNA (1550 nucleotides) under Pectobacterium brasiliense. RNAcentral's name for it is "bacterial SSU rRNA". It matches the Rfam family "Bacterial small subunit ribosomal RNA". Lineage: Bacteria; Pseudomonadati; Pseudomonadota; Gammaproteobacteria; Enterobacterales; Pectobacteriaceae. The record is from RNAcentral.
AAAUUGAAGAGUUUGAUCAUGGCUCAGAUUGAACGCUGGCGGCAGGCCUAACACAUGCAAGUCGAGCGGUAGCACAGAAGAGCUUGCUCUUUGGGUGACGAGCGGCGGACGGGUGAGUAAUGUCUGGGAAACUGCCUGAUGGAGGGGGAUAACUACUGGAAACGGUAGCUAAUACCGCAUAACCUCGCAAGAGCAAAGAGGGGGACCUUCGGGCCUCUCGCCAUCAGAUGUGCCCAGAUGGGAUUAGCUAGUAGGUGAGGUAAUGGCUCACCUAGGCGACGAUCCCUAGCUGGUCUGAGAGGAUGACCAGCCACACUGGAACUGAGACACGGUCCAGACUCCUACGGGAGGCAGCAGUGGGGAAUAUUGCACAAUGGGCGCAAGCCUGAUGCAGCCAUGCCGCGUGUGUGAAGAAGGCCUUCGGGUUGUAAAGCACUUUCAGCGGGGAGGAAGGCGGUGAGGUUAAUAACCUCAUCGAUUGACGUUACCCGCAGAAGAAGCACCGGCUAACUCCGUGCCAGCAGCCGCGGUAAUACGGAGGGUGCAAGCGUUAAUCGGAAUGACUGGGCGUAAAGCGCACGCAGGCGGUCUGUUAAGUUGGAUGUGAAAUCCCCGGGCUUAACCUGGGAACUGCAUUCAAAACUGACAGGCUAGAGUCUUGUAGAGGGGGGUAGAAUUCCAGGUGUAGCGGUGAAAUGCGUAGAGAUCUGGAGGAAUACCGGUGGCGAAGGCGGCCCCCUGGACAAAGACUGACGCUCAGGUGCGAAAGCGUGGGGAGCAAACAGGAUUAGAUACCCUGGUAGUCCACGCUGUAAACGAUGUCGAUUUGGAGGUUGUGCCCUUGAGGCGUGGCUUCCGGAGCUAACGCGUUAAAUCGACCGCCUGGGGAGUACGGCCGCAAGGUUAAAACUCAAAUGAAUUGACGGGGGCCCGCACAAGCGGUGGAGCAUGUGGUUUAAUUCGAUGCAACGCGAAGAACCUUACCUACUCUUGACAUCCAGAGAACUUAGCAGAGAUGCUUUGGUGCCUUCGGGAACUCUGAGACAGGUGCUGCAUGGCUGUCGUCAGCUCGUGUUGUGAAAUGUUGGGUUAAGUCCCGCAACGAGCGCAACCCUUAUCCUUUGUUGCCAGCGAUUCGGUCGGGAACUCAAAGGAGACUGCCGGUGAUAAACCGGAGGAAGGUGGGGAUGACGUCAAGUCAUCAUGGCCCUUACGAGUAGGGCUACACACGUGCUACAAUGGCGUAUACAAAGAGAAGCGACCUCGCGAGAGCAAGCGGACCUCAUAAAGUACGUCGUAGUCCGGAUUGGAGUCUGCAACUCGACUCCAUGAAGUCGGAAUCGCUAGUAAUCGUAGAUCAGAAUGCUACGGUGAAUACGUUCCCGGGCCUUGUACACACCGCCCGUCACACCAUGGGAGUGGGUUGCAAAAGAAGUAGGUAGCUUAACCUUCGGGAGGGCGCUUACCACUUUGUGAUUCAUGACUGGGGUGAAGUCGUAACAAGGUAACCGUAGGGGAACCUGCGGUUGGAUCACCUCCUUACCAAGAAG